UUCCUGGUCAGGCUCUCCUGGACCCAGC
Molecule: non-coding RNA, 28 nt
Filed under: Rattus norvegicus (Norway rat)
Lineage: Eukaryota; Metazoa; Chordata; Mammalia; Rodentia; Muridae
Source: RNAcentral